UGUUCAGCCUAUGGGUCAUGUGGACUUUUACGCCAACGGAGGUCUUGUACAAAGUGGAUGUGCUGACGGUUUGGAAGAAAUCAUUCUCGACCUUUUCCACCUCAAUGGAACUAUUCUCGAAGAGCUCACCUGCAGUCACAGUCAAGCACCUGUACUGUACAUCGAAACAAUCAAGUCUUCCAGUUUUUCACAAGCAUGCCAAUUCACUUCAGUGAGCUGUGACUCACCGAACAGUUGGUUUCAAGGCAAAUGUUUCAACUGCAUAGCUAACGGUGAUUUACCUGCCUUUGGUUAUAAAUUAACAGCGCAGAAACAGUUCAAAGGACAGUACUAUUUUACAACGUUGCCAAAAAAUAAGCACCACGAAACCUACUGUGGGAAACAAUAUGGCUUCAACAUUAUACCCGAUCAAGCGGUCAAAGGUUCAAUAACGCUCACAUUAAUGUUCAGCAAUUUGCAUUCUAUGAAUUUCACCUUCCAACACAUCGAUGAAACUCUCGAAGAAAACAGUCAUGCAAUUAAAAUUGGUGCCGUUCCAGAAUUUUAUCCGGAAAUAACAAACAUUACCAUUAUUUACGAAAAAUAUUCUAGCUGGAUUUGGAAAAAUGGACCUGACGAAUGGGUAUUGAAAUCGCUCAGCUUGUUGGACAUGGAAUGCAACAUACACGAAGUGAAUCCGAACGUUCUGGUCAUCAACAAAAUGGCUACUACAGUGGACAUGUGAGACAGAUGUUGUGCAACAACAUGAUUGGUAAAAAAUAAAAAAUCAAAAUAUCGCCAAAUGUCAUAAAUGGAGAAAAAUGAAAAGCCAAAAUAUAUAGUCCGUGUCGAUGUGUGUUUCUUAUUUUCAUUUUCACGUUCAUGUACUGUUGUUAGUUUGCUAUUCAUUUAUGUCAUGCGAAACAAACACGAACAGUAGUAAUUGUUCAUCUCUCAGUUGAAACUUCCUUUAAAAUGGGUAAACAAUUACACAUGUGUAUGUACGAUAUAUGCAUAAUAAAAUGAAUGAAUGAAUAAAUAAAUAUGUAGUACAAAUCGGUAAUGUUCAGCAUGGCAAAAUAUGCACCAUAUGGGCACAUUAAAAAUGAAGGAAAGAAAAGGGAAAACAAAAGCACAACUAUUUAUUGACUAUAGCGUCGUUCGGGUACGUGAAAAUCCGAGCGACGCCUGGUAAAUCUCGUACUUGGUCGUACUGAUAUCCGCAGCAGGUCUCCAAGGUGAGUGGCCUCUGGCCGAUAGAAUAAUGUAGGUAAGGGAAGUCGGCAAAACGGAUCCGUAACUUCGGAACAAGGAUUGGCUCUAAGGGCUGGGCCGAUCGGGCUGAGGUUUCAAGCGUGCAGUGUAUGCUUGGCUGAGUUGUGUUGAGGACUUGUUCACUUGCCGCCGUUUGUUCGGUUGGUCUAGUGUAUUCGAGUCUGAAGCAGAGCUGGCCGACAGACCGGCACGUGCAGAACCUGAGCUGCGCGGCUGUCCGUUUACGUGUACAGACCGUUUCGGUCGGCAUUCAACAGCCAACUUAGAACUGGCACGGACACAAGGAAUCUGACUGUAUAAUUAAAACAAAGCAUUGCGAUGGCCGAUGAUCGGUGAUGACGCAAUGUGAUCUCUGCCCAGUGGCUCUGAAUGUCAAAGUGAAGAAAUUCAAUCAAGCGCGGGUAAACGGCGGGAGUAACUAUGACUCUCUUAAGGUAGCCAAAUGCCUCGUCAUCUAAUUAGUGACGCGUAUGAAUGGAUCAACAAGAUUCCUUCUGUCCCUAUCUACUAUCUAGCGAAACCACAGCCAAGGGAACGGGCUUGGCAAAAUCAGCGGGGAAAGAAGACCCUGUUGAGCUUGACUCUAGUCUGACUCUGUGAAGAGACAUGAAAGGUGUAGCAUAGGUGGGAGAUUGUCAAAUUGCCAUCGUUCGCGCGGUGGUCCGGUGAUCGCCAAUGAAAUACCACUACUUUGAUCGUUUCUUUACUUAUUCGGUAAAGCGAAAAAAUUGUGGCCAAUUUGGCGGUGUUUAUGUCGCUGUUGGUCAUUGUUUUCAUGUUAGAUUGAAGCUUUGUUUACAGCCGUCGCUUUGUGUCGCCAUUUGACGCAUUGUUGUACUGGGUUAUCCCGGUGUGUGGUGUAGUCAGUAUGGAUGAUCGGCGAUAGGUUUGAAGUGAUUCGCUCCGGAAACAGUGUCAGACGGGGAGUUUGACUGGGGCGGUACAUCUGUUAAACGAUAACGCAGGUGUCCUAAGGUAAGCUCAGCGAGGACAGAAACCUCGCUUAGAGUAAACGGGCACAAGCUUACUUGAUUUUGAUUUCCAGUACGAAUAGAAACCGCGAAAGCGUGGCCUAUCGAUCCUUUUGAUUGUGUAGAUUUCAUGCAAGAGGUGUCAGAAAAGUUACCACAGGGAUAACUGGCUUGUGGCAGCCAAGCGUCCAUAGCGACGUUGCUUUUUGAUCCUUCGAUGUCGGCUCUUCCUAUCAUUGCGAAGCAGAAUUCGCCAAGCGUUGGAUUGUUCACCCACCAAUAGGGAACGUGAGCUGGGUUUAGACCGUCGUGAGACAGGUUAGUUUUACCCUACUGAUGACAAGUCGUUGCGAUAGUAAUCCUGCUCAGUACGAGAGGAACCGCGGGAUCAGACAUUUGGUUCAUGCGCUCGGCUGAAAGGCCGGUGGCGCGAAGCUAGCAUCUGCAAGAUUAUGACUGAACGCCUCUAAGUCAGAAUCUUUUCUAGUCAUUGGCAACGAUAAGUUGCGUCCAGACUCGAUGCGAGGAAACGAUUAGGCUUUGCUAUACGGCGAAGCCAUUAUCAGACCACGGUAGCAGGCAGUAUGGGAUUGUUACGAAAAAGCAAUUUUUUCUCUACCGACUCGGGCAAAUGUUUUUCCACAAUUACCCCGUCAAUUACAAGAAUUUCCCAGAGAC
RNAcentral lists this ribosomal RNA (2903 nucleotides) under Trichinella murrelli. Its description in RNAcentral is "eukaryotic LSU rRNA". The stretch from base 768 to 2903 matches the Rfam family "Eukaryotic large subunit ribosomal RNA". The record is from RNAcentral. Lineage: Eukaryota; Metazoa; Nematoda; Enoplea; Trichinellida; Trichinellidae.